RNAcentral lists this ribosomal RNA (446 nucleotides) under uncultured bacterium. RNAcentral's name for it is "bacterial SSU rRNA". It matches the Rfam family "Bacterial small subunit ribosomal RNA", at positions 331 to 793 of the family's 1533-position model. The record is from RNAcentral.
CCAGACUCCUACGGGAGGCAGCAGUGGGGAAUAUUGCGCAAUGGGGGCAACCCUGACGCAGCAACGCCGCGUGAUUGAAGAAGGCCUUCGGGUUGUAAAGAUCUUUAAUCAGGGACGAAAAAUGACGGUACCUGAAGAAUAAGCUCCGGCUAACUACGUGCCAGCAGCCGCGGUAAUACGUAGGGUGCGAGCGUUAAUCGGAAUUACUGGGCGUAAAGGGUGUGCAGGCGGCUGAGUAAGACAGAUGUGAAAUCCCCGGGCUUAGCCUGGGAACCGCAUAUGUGACUGCUUGGCUAGAGUGCGUCAGAGGGAGGUGGAAUUCCACGUGUAGCAGUGAAAUGCGUAGAUAUGUGGAAGAACACCGAUGGCGAAGGCAGCCUCCUGGGACGCAACUGACGCUCAGACACGAAAGCGUGGGGAGCAAACAGGAUUAGAUACCCCCGUAA